CCUACGGGUGGCUGCAGUGGGGAAUAUUGGACAAUGGGCGAAAGCCUGAUCCAGCCAUGCCGCGUGUGUGAAGAAGGCCUUCGGGUUGUAAAGCACUUUCAGUGGGGAAGAAAGCCUUGGGGCUAAUACCCUCGAGGAAGGACAUCACCCACAGAAGAAGCACCGGCUAACUCCGUGCCAGCAGCCGCGGUAAUACGGAGGGUGCGAGCGUUAAUCGGAAUUACUGGGCGUAAAGCGCGCGUAGGCGGUCUGAUAAGCCGGUUGUGAAAGCCCCGGGCUCAACCUGGGAACGGCAUCCGGAACGGUCAGGCUAGAGUGCAGGAGAGGAAGGUAGAAUUCCCGGUGUAGCGGUGAAAUGCGUAGAUAUCGGGAGGAAUACCAGUGGCGAAGGCGGCCUUCUGGACUGACACUGACGCUGAGGUGCGAAAGCGUGGGUAGCAAACAGGAUUAGAUACCCCAGUAGUC
Molecule: ribosomal RNA, 465 nt
Filed under: Vreelandella stevensii
Lineage: Bacteria; Pseudomonadati; Pseudomonadota; Gammaproteobacteria; Oceanospirillales; Halomonadaceae
Description: partial 16S ribosomal RNA
Rfam family: Bacterial small subunit ribosomal RNA
Source: RNAcentral